GAUUAGCUCUCUCUACCUCUUCUCUUAAGGUUCUCUCUCUCUCUUCUCUGUCCUCUCGAUCCAUUCUUUCUCUCUCCUCUCGAUCUCUCCUAUCUCUCUCUUCCUCUCCUCGACGGUCAUGUCGGCUACGCCCACUUCUAUUAUCUGAACCUGCACUCGAACUUGAACCCGAUCUGGCACUACUCGACGACAUGACCGUUUCGAACGACAGCUGAAAAAGGUCUGAGGGGUAAGACCGAUAGGGGGCCAGAAGAAAACUCACUUUGAAAGACAGCUAAUAAACGGGUCAACACAAGGUUUUAGUUACAUGAACAGGAGAAACUUCCAAUUGUAAUUCACGCGUUCAACUACAGAGUCAAAAUUUCUUGAAUUAUGACGGUGAGAGCAGAGAGUUAUUGGGCGGUGAAACUAAUGCCAGAUGACACACCGUAAUCCCUGAAGCCGAGCCCUAAAACAAUGGAUUUUGCCACGAUUCACGGGAAAUCAAGAAACAAGUGCCUUUGUUGUUGUAUUGACAAAUUUUAAGAGCGUUCUUGAAGUACAGACUCGGGGAUUCAGCAGUUGCCAAUAGAGUAGCAUGUGGAUGAGGAUAAGUAAUAAUUAAACUUCGAUAGCGUAGAAGUCACGGUGAACGUGUCUGACUCAUCGUUGGGAAAAAGUUGUUUUCCAACACAAUGCAGUUAUACAAAUCUACCGGAACACUUUGCGUCAAAGUUUGAGGUUUCAGAAAAUCAAAUUCAGGUAUCAUACUUCACCAACUGUAGUGUGAAAAGUGAGCGACUCGUCUUCGGUAAGCAAAAGCUUUCACCUAAACGAACAGUUGCCUCGAUCUUGGUCAGUAUUACUCAAAUCCCGUUUAAAUUUAAGAACUGGUAAAGAAA
Daphnia magna is the source of this 881-nucleotide long non-coding RNA. RefSeq lists it as uncharacterized. Lineage: Eukaryota; Metazoa; Arthropoda; Branchiopoda; Diplostraca; Daphniidae. The record is from RefSeq and is a predicted model, not a curated record. The transcript has 3 exons.